This 464-nucleotide long non-coding RNA is filed under the name Heterocephalus glaber (naked mole-rat). RNAcentral's name for it is "lncRNA (ENSHGLG00100051465.1)". The record is from RNAcentral. Lineage: Eukaryota; Metazoa; Chordata; Mammalia; Rodentia; Bathyergidae.
GUGAGAACUGUUCUAUAAAAGAAAAGUGGUGUAUUUCUCACAUGACAGGGCCUCUGAUUCCAUGUGAUUAUUCCAGCAGGGACGAGAACAUGCAGGGUUCAAAUCAAAAUUGUCUCAUGAUCUCAUCUAAUAACAAAGAUGUGGGUUUCUGAUAUUCCAGGGAGAUGCCCAGUAUCAGAGGGGAACUCAUUUUCUCGAUGAAUGGAGAGGCCACGCAAGGGAAUUUUGGAAAGUCAUAGUGGCCAGAGCCUUGAGACCACGUGCUGUGGACAAGGAGGAAAGCUGAGAUGGAAGCGAAGGCUGAUAGAGGGAUGAAUAGCCGAGGGUGGUGGGGCAGAGCAGUCCUCAGCAUUGUCCAUCAUGAGCCUUAUGGAUCCCAUACUGAGGGACUGCAACAAGAGAUUUUCACAGAAAAUUUAGCACCUUCUUCUGGGCUUGGGUCUGGCUUGCUUCCCUUUUUUAUG